ACCCCAUGGAGCUUUAAACCCAACUACACCCCUAUUUACAACAACUACUUAACCAAUUGGACACUGUAUGCUUGGUUUUAGGUUGGGGCGACCACGGAGUAAAAAAUAACCUCCACGAUAAAUGGGCUUACCCCCUUAUCUAAGAGCCACACCUCUAAGAAUUAAAAUAUUAAUAUAAUAUGAUCCUUUCUUGAUCAACGGACCAAGUUACCCUGGGGAUAACAGCGCAAUCCAUUUCAAGAGUCCCUAUCGACAAAUGGGUUUACGACCUCGAUGUUGGAUCAGGAUGUCCAGGUGGUGUAGCAGCUACCAACGGUUCGUUUGUUCAACGAUUAAAAUCCU
This 342-nucleotide ribosomal RNA is filed under the name Mantidactylus sp. 48 MV-2009. RNAcentral describes it as "partial 16S ribosomal RNA". It matches the Rfam family "Bacterial large subunit ribosomal RNA", at positions 2088 to 2597 of the family's 2925-position model. Lineage: Eukaryota; Metazoa; Chordata; Amphibia; Anura; Mantellidae. The record is from RNAcentral.